UGCAUAUUCAAAAAGCGGAGGAAAAGAAACCAACCGGGAUUGCCUUAGUAACGGCGAGUGAAGCGGCAAAAGCUCAAAUUUGAAAUCUGGUACCUUCGGUGCCCGAGUUGUAAUUUGGAGAGGGCAACUUUGGGGCCGUUCCUUGUCUAUGUUCCUUGGAACAGGACGUCAUAGAGGGUGAGAAUCCCGUGUGGCGAGGAGUGCGGUUCUUUGUAAAGUGCCUUCGAAGAGUCGAGUUGUUUGGGAAUGCAGCUCUAAGUGGGUGGUAAAUUCCAUCUAAAGCUAAAUAUUGGCGAGAGACCGAUAGCGAACAAGUACAGUGAUGGAAAGAUGAAAAGAACUUUGAAAAGAGAGUGAAAAAGUACGUGAAAUUGUUGAAAGGGAAGGGCAUUUGAUCAGACAUGGUGUUUUGUGCCCUCUGCUCCUUGUGGGUAGGGGAAUCUCGCAUUUCACUGGGCCAGCAUCAGUUUUGGUGGCAGGAUAAAUCCAUAGGAAUGUAGCUUGCCUCGGUAAGUAUUAUAGCCUGUGGGAAUACUGCCAGCUGGGACUGAGGACUGCGACGUAAGUCAAGGAUGCUGGCAUAAUGGUUAUAUGCCGCCCGUCUUGAACCACCGGA
RNAcentral lists this ribosomal RNA (616 nucleotides) under Saccharomyces cerevisiae (brewer's yeast). RNAcentral's name for it is "partial large subunit ribosomal RNA". It matches the Rfam family "Eukaryotic large subunit ribosomal RNA", at positions 37 to 665 of the family's 3401-position model. The record is from RNAcentral. Lineage: Eukaryota; Fungi; Ascomycota; Saccharomycetes; Saccharomycetales; Saccharomycetaceae. RNAcentral also lists the same sequence under 1 other name.